AACGCACGAGACCUGCGGACCUGCGGAGGGAUCAUUAUUGUUGUGGGGAUAUGUGUGAUUGUGAAGCGUGGUUGGCAGGGGGGAGUGUUGUGGAUCGCAGGGGGGAAGCGAAGGAAGCGGAAGCAGAAGCGGGAGCGGAAGCGGAAGCGAGGUCGUAGUAGCCCAUGCAGGAAGCAACACAGAUCUAGCCAAUCAUAGAUGAGCGAGAUGAGAUGAUAGCAAAGUGAUAACACGACAAAA
Molecule: unclassified non-coding RNA, 240 nt
Filed under: soil metagenome
Description: partial contains 5.8S ribosomal RNA, internal transcribed spacer 2, and large subunit ribosomal RNA
Source: RNAcentral